RNAcentral lists this ribosomal RNA (253 nucleotides) under uncultured bacterium. RNAcentral describes it as "partial 16S ribosomal RNA". It matches the Rfam family "Bacterial small subunit ribosomal RNA", at positions 524 to 776 of the family's 1533-position model. The record is from RNAcentral.
UACGGAGGGUGCAAGCGUUACUCGGAAUUACUGGGCGUAAAGCGCGCGUAGGCGGCUUACUAAGUCUGAUGUGAAAGCCCUGGACUCAAUUCAGGAAGUGCAUUGGAUACUGGUAGGCUAGAGUAUAGGAGAGGUGAGUGGAAUUCCUGGUGUAGAGGUGAAAUUCGUAGAUAUCAGGAGGAACAACAGAGGCGAAGGCGACUCACUGGACUAUAACUGACGCUGAGGUGCGAAAGCGUGGGGAGCAAACAGG